GUCGACGCAGAUGUAAAUCUGAGUGGCGGACGGGUGAGUAACGCGUGAGAAUCUGCCUCAAGGAGGGGAACAACAGUUGGAAACGACUGCUAAUGCCCCAUAUGCUGAGAAGUGAAAUAGAGUAAUCUGCCUUGAGAGGAGCUCGCGUCUGAUUAGUUUGUUGGUGGGGUAAAGGCCUACCAAGACUACGAUCAGUAGUUGGUCUUAGAGGAUGAUCAGCCACACUGGGACUGAGAUACGGCCCAGACUUCUACGGAAGGCAGCAGUGGGGAAUUUUCCGCAAUGGGCGCAAGCCUGACGGAGCAAUACCGCGUGAGGGAAGAAUGCCUGUGGGUUGUAAACCUCUUUUUUUAGGGAAGAAAGUUUGACGGUACCUAAAGAAUAAGCAUCGGCUAACUCUGUGCCAGCAGCCGCGGUAAUACAGGGGAUGCAAGCGUUAUCCGGAAUCACUGGGCGUAAAGAGUCUGUAGGUGGUUUAAUAAGUCUGCUGUUAAAUGUCAAAGCUUAACUUUGAAAAAGCAGUGGAAACUGCUAGACUAGAGCAUGGUAAGGGUAAAGGGAAUUCCCAGUGUAGCGGUGAAAUGCGUAGAUAUUGGGAAGAACACCAGUGGCGAAAGCGCUUUACUUGGCCAUUGCUGACACUCAGAGACGAAAGCUAAGGGAGCGAAUGGGAUUAGAUACCCCAGUAGUCUUAGCCGUAAACGAUGGAUACUAGAUGUUGCACGUAUCGAUCCGUGCAGUAUCGUAGCUAACGCGUUAAGUAUCCCGCCUGGGAAGUAUGCUCGCAAGAGUGAAACUC
This 799-nucleotide ribosomal RNA is filed under the name uncultured cyanobacterium. Its description in RNAcentral is "bacterial SSU rRNA". It matches the Rfam family "Bacterial small subunit ribosomal RNA", at positions 61 to 902 of the family's 1533-position model. The record is from RNAcentral. Lineage: Bacteria; Bacillati; Cyanobacteriota.